GACGAACGCUGGCGGCGUGCCUAAUACAUGCAAGUAGAACGCUGAAGGAGGAGCUUGCUUCUCUGGAUGAGUUGCGAACGGGUGAGUAACGCGUAGGUAACCUGCCUGGUAGCGGGGGAUAACUAUUGGAAACGAUAGCUAAUACCGCAUAAGAGUAGAUGUUGCAUGACAUUUGCUUAAAAGGUGCAAUUGCAUCACUACCAGAUGGACCUGCGUUGUAUUAGCUAGUUGGUGGGGUAACGGCUCACCAAGGCGACGAUACAUAGCCGACCUGAGAGGGGGAUCGGCCACCCUGGGACUGAGACACGGCCCAGACUCCUACGGGAGGCAGCCGUAGGGAAUCUUCGGCAAUGGACGGAAGUCUGACCGAGCAACGCCGCGUGAGUGCAGAAGGUUUUCGGAUCGUAAAGCUCUGUUGUAAGAGAAGAACGAGUGUGAGAGUGGAAAGUUCACACUGUGACGGUAUCUUACCAGAAAGGGACGGCUAACUACGUG
RNAcentral lists this ribosomal RNA (495 nucleotides) under uncultured bacterium. RNAcentral's name for it is "partial 16S ribosomal RNA". It matches the Rfam family "Bacterial small subunit ribosomal RNA", at positions 28 to 507 of the family's 1533-position model. The record is from RNAcentral.